GGGCCGGUACAGUGAGCAGGUCGUCAUCACACCCGUACGCGGAGAAGCCGGUGCAAUUCCGGCGCUGACCCGCAACCGUGAGCCACCCGCAGGGGUGGCGAGCCGGAUCGCCUCGUGCGGGACGUGACC
This is a non-coding RNA of Actinobacteria bacterium OK006, 129 nucleotides long. The record is from Rfam. NCBI's taxonomy places the organism in Bacteria, Bacillati, Actinomycetota, Actinomycetes.